CCUACGGGUGGCAGCAGUCGGGAAUUUUGGGCAAUGGGCGAAAGCCUGACCCAGCAACGCCGCGUGAAGGAUGAAAUCCCUCGGGAUGUAAACUUCGCAGAAAAGAGAGCGGUAUCAUUUGUAAGCUCCGGCUAACUCCGUGCCAGCAGCCGCGGUAAUACGGGGGGAGCAAGCGUUGUUCGGAUUUACUGGGCGUAAAGGGCGCGUAGGCGGUAGCACAAGUCAGUUGUGAAAUCUCCGAGCUUAACUCGGAAAGGUCAACUGAUACUGUGCGACUAGAGUGCAGAAGGGGCAACUGGAAUUCUUGGUGUAGCGGUGAAAUGCGUAGAUAUCAAGAGGAACACCUGCGGCGAAGGCGGGUUGCUGGGCUGAAUGACGCUGAAGCGCGAAAGCCAGGGGAGCGAACGGGAUUAGAUACCCUUGUAGUC
Molecule: ribosomal RNA, 428 nt
Filed under: uncultured bacterium
Lineage: Bacteria
Description: partial 16S ribosomal RNA
Rfam family: Bacterial small subunit ribosomal RNA
Source: RNAcentral